RNAcentral lists this transfer RNA (73 nucleotides) under Neotoma lepida (desert woodrat). It matches the Rfam family "tRNA". Rfam says of the family: Transfer RNA (tRNA) molecules are approximately 80 nucleotides in length. Their secondary structure includes four short double-helical elements and three loops (D, anti-codon, and T loops). Further hydrogen bonds mediate the characteristic L-shaped molecular structure. tRNAs have two regions of fundamental functional importance: the anti-codon, which is responsible for specific mRNA codon recognition, and the 3' end, to which the tRNAs corresponding amino acid is attached (by aminoacyl-tRNA synthetases). tRNAs cope with the degeneracy of the genetic code in two manners: having more than one tRNA (with a specific anti-codon) for a particular amino acid; and 'wobble' base-pairing, i.e. permitting non-standard base-pairing at the 3rd anti-codon position. Lineage: Eukaryota; Metazoa; Chordata; Mammalia; Rodentia; Cricetidae. The record is from Rfam by way of RNAcentral.
UGGGAUGUGGCUCAGUUGGUAGAGUGCUUGCCUAGCAUGCAUGAAGCCCUGGGCUCCANCCCAAGCACCACAU